Molecule: ribosomal RNA, 498 nt
Filed under: uncultured bacterium
Lineage: Bacteria
Description: partial 16S ribosomal RNA
Rfam family: Bacterial small subunit ribosomal RNA
Source: RNAcentral
AUUGAACGCUGGCGGCAUGCCUUACACAUGCAAGUCGAACGGUAACAGGUCUUCGGAUGCUGACGAGUGGCGAACGGGUGAGUAAUACAUCGGAACGUGCCUAGUAGUGGGGGAUAACUACUCGAAAGAGUGGCUAAUACCGCAUGAGAUCUACGGAUGAAAGCAGGGGAUCGCAAGACCUUGCGCUACUAGAGCGGCCGAUGGCAGAUUAGGUAGUUGGUGGGAUAAAAGCUUACCAAGCCGACGAUCUGUAGCUGGUCUGAGAGGACGAUCAGCCACACUGGGACUGAGACACGGCCCAGACUCCUACGGGAGGCAGCAGUGGGGAAUUUUGGACAAUGGGCGAAAGCCUGAUCCAGCAAUGCCGCGUGCAGGAUGAAGGCCUUCGGGUUGUAAACUGCUUUUGUGCGGAACGAAAAGCCCCGGGUUAAUACCCCGGGGUCAUGACGGUACCGUAAGAAUAAGCACCGGCUAACUACGUGCCAGCCGCCGCCGUAA